GUUUGAUCCUGGCUCAGAAUCAACGCUGGCGGCGUGCCUCAGACAUGCAAGUCGAACGAUUAAACUCCCCUUCGGGGGAGAUAUAAAGUGGCGCACGGGUGAGUAACACGUAGGUAAUUUGCCUUCGGGUGGGGAAUAACAGCCGGAAACGGCUGCUAAUACCGCAUAAUGCAGCGGCACCACAUGGUGACAGUUGUUAAAGCGGGGGAUCGCAAGACCUCGCGCCUGAAGAGAAGCCUGCGGCAGAUUAGCUAGUUGGUAGGGUAAUGGCCUACCAAGGCUACGAUCUGUAACCGGCCUGAGAGGGCGGUCGGUCACACUGACACUGACAUACGGGUCAGACUCCUACGGGAGGCAGCAGUCGGGAAUUUUGGGCAAUGGGCGAAAGCCUGACCCAGCAACGCCGCGUGAAGGAUGAAAUUUUUCGGAAUGUAAACUUCGCAAGAAUAGGAAGAAUAAGUGGGGGAUAAUACCCCCCAUGAUGACGGUACUAUUUGUAAGCUCCGGCUAACUCCGUGCCAGCAGCCGCGGUAAUACGGGGGGAGCAAGCGUUGUUCGGAUUUACUGGGCGUAAAGGGCGCGUAGGCGGCCACGACAAGUCACUUGUGAAAUCUCCGGGCUUAACUCGGAGCGGUCAAGUGAUACUGUUGGGCUAGAGUGCAGAAGGGGCAACUGGAAUUCUCGGUGUAGCGGUGAAAUGCGUAGAUAUCGAGAGGAACACCUGCGGCGAAGGCGGGUUGCUGGGCUGACACUGACGCUGAGGCGCGAAAGCUAAGGGAGCGAACGGGAUUAGAUACCCCGGUAGUCCUAGCCUUAAACGAUGAAUGCUUGGUGUCUCGGGUUAUAAAGUCCCGGGGUGCCGU
RNAcentral lists this ribosomal RNA (863 nucleotides) under uncultured bacterium. Its description in RNAcentral is "bacterial SSU rRNA". It matches the Rfam family "Bacterial small subunit ribosomal RNA", at positions 11 to 849 of the family's 1533-position model. The record is from RNAcentral.